Molecule: ribosomal RNA, 484 nt
Filed under: uncultured bacterium
Lineage: Bacteria
Description: partial 16S ribosomal RNA
Rfam family: Bacterial small subunit ribosomal RNA
Source: RNAcentral
AUUGAACGCUGGCGGCAGGCCUAACACAUGCAAGUCGAGCGGAUGAAGGGAGCUUGCUCCUGGAUUCAGCGGCGGACGGGUGAGUAAUGCCUAGGAAUCUGCCUGGUAGUGGGGGAUAACGUCCGGAAACGGGCGCUAAUACCGCAUACGUCCUGAGGGAGAAAGUGGGGGAUCUUCGGACCUCACGCUAUCAGAUGAGCCUAGGUCGGAUUAGCUAGUUGGUGGGGUAAAGGCCUACCAAGGCGACGAUCCGUAACUGGUCUGAGAGGAUGAUCAGUCACACUGGAGCUGAGACACGGUCCAGACUCCUACGGGAGGCAGCAGUGGGGAAUAUUGGACAAUGGGCGAAAGCCUGAUCCAGCCAUGCCGCGUGUGUGAAGAAGGUCUUCGGAUUGUAAAGCACUUUAAGUUGGGAGGAAGGGCAGUAAGUUAAUACCUUGCUGUUUUGACGUUACCAACAGAACAAGCACCGGCUAACUUCGUG